CAACGAGUGGCUUGUAUCAUGUGCUCCGAAAUGAUUAAUAUAGAUAACUCCUUCAACCUUUUUUUUAAAAGAAAAAACCUCUAGCAUGAAUAUAUAAAAAAAUUAAAAAAUAAAAUAUCUGAAAGGACCAUUGAAGUAGACAUCAAUGCAAAGGUCCAUAGCACUUCGUUAAAAUACUCAACCAUGAAAGAAGAGAUCAUUCAAUCCAUGGUAAACGUGCAUCAUGAAAAAUAGCAUGUCUCCCUUCACUAGUCUCCAGAUAUCUUGCAAAAAAGGUUGUACCCAUUCUCCUCUUACCUAUCUUUGGAUUCAUACAAUCAUUAUGGCAGUCGCCCUCAACAUAAACAUAGCUAAUGCUUGCCCAAGCUGUAUUUAAUUCCACUCCAGAAACUCAGGCAUCAAAGAUUGGACUCCUGCCC
RNAcentral lists this long non-coding RNA (419 nucleotides) under Elaeis guineensis (African oil palm). RNAcentral's name for it is "long non-coding RNA (EGUI_LNC002139)". The record is from RNAcentral. Lineage: Eukaryota; Viridiplantae; Streptophyta; Magnoliopsida; Arecales; Arecaceae.